Molecule: long non-coding RNA, 725 nt
Organism: Drosophila yakuba
Lineage: Eukaryota; Metazoa; Arthropoda; Insecta; Diptera; Drosophilidae
Exons: 2
Source: RefSeq, a predicted model, not a curated record
UUCAUUUAUGACAUUAGGUUCUGUUCUCUAUACUUAAAAAUAACAAAAAAAAGCAUAUAAAGUUUUCAUUUAUUUAGCUAGUUGGUGUAGUGCUUUUUGCUCAGUGCAUGUGAGGUUCGAUUGAAUGCUGAUCGCAAUCGCGAAGGCUGCCAAACGCUUCUAUGCAAAGUGCCUGCGAUUCCGCCUCUUCCACGUCCAUCUCCUCCAGCUCCUCCUGCUUCUCCUGCUCCUCUAGCUCCUCCUGCUCCUCCAGCUCCUCCAGUUCCCCCCUGCGCCUCCUGCUCCUCCCCCUCCUCCCCCAAAGGCAUCACCCAGGCCCAUCCGCCUGAUCCGCUGGCAGCGGAGGAAGAACCUGUUGCUGCUGUUGGCCUGGGCUGGUCGCAACUAUCAAGAUGACCAAGGGGUGAACAAAUUCAUUCAGUCAUUCAUCGAAACAAAUUGGUUGACUGAUGAUGACGACGACGCGAUGCAGCCGAAGAGGUGGAGCUCAGGAUCUGCAGCCGGACUUGAUCGGGACAUGGCCGGACUUGGAGCCCCCCCUACCACCACAUCUCAAUGGCUAUGUGGGCUGUAUAUCCCGGUAUCCAGAAUCCAUUUGCGUGUCUGGGAACUUAACAAUUUUAUUUAUUCGUCGCCGGACGCAUUUUCAAUGCACACUCGUGUCAUCCGAUAAGCCAGCCGGGUCUAACAAUUACUAUCGCAUAAAUAACCGUUUACCCCCACUG